Molecule: ribosomal RNA, 897 nt
Filed under: Triticum aestivum (bread wheat)
Lineage: Eukaryota; Viridiplantae; Streptophyta; Magnoliopsida; Poales; Poaceae
Description: partial small subunit ribosomal RNA
Source: RNAcentral
AUGGUAUCAGAGCCUCUAUCUCUUCCACAAACACAUCUAGCCAUGGCAGGUUCCUCCGCUCCGGCAGCCAUCUCCUUCGCCCAUGUUCAGAUCGCUGAGAAGCUAACCAGGGAGAACUACCUACCCUGGAAAGCUCAGGUCCUGCCACCGGUCCGAGGUGCCCUUCUCAUGGGUUUCCUUGACGGAUCGCGUGCAGCACCACCGGAGGAAAUCGAGGAGGCAAAGGCGGACAAGACCGUCGAGAAGGUAUGUAACCCAGCCUAUGCAGCAUGGGUGGCUCAAGACCAGCAGGUUUUGGGCUUUCUGCUCGGGUCUCUUUCCCGAGAGGUGUUGCUGCAGGUGAUGGAUCAUACGGAGAGCAGCAAGCUGUGGGCGGCGAUCCAGGCGAUGUUCGCCUCGCAGUCGCGCGCCCGCGUCAUCCAGCUCCGCACGCAGCUCACAAACUCGCGCAAGGGAGAUCUCUCUGCCACUGCGUACUUCACCAAGAUGAAGGGAAUCGCUGACAGGCUUGCUGCCGCGGGGAAGAAGAUGGACGACGACGAUCUGGUCUCGCAGAUCCUUUCGGGGCUUGAUGCAGACUACAACCCCUUCGUCUCGGCGCUCUCUGCCAAGGCGAACGAGCAGGCGAUCACCCUCGCCGAACUCUUCUCCGGGCUCCUGGUGGCCGAGUCACGUCUGGAGGCGCAGAACCCGGUGAGUCAGCAGCUGUCGGUCAAUCUCGUCGCCAAGGGUGGACGUGGCAGCGGCUAUCCUCAGGGUCGCAGCAACAGCAGCGGCAACGGUCGCGGUGGAGGAGGCGGGCGCUCCUCUGAUGACGGGCGUGGUGGCUCUGGUGGCUACCCCAACCAGCGCCAAGGCCAAGGGAACGGGGAAAAUUCUGUUGCGCGCACAGAGUAG